CUUGCACUUCGGAAAGAAGGAGCUCUCCUUAGGCUGGGAGGGGCCAAGCCGCUGGCCCGUGAGCCUGGGGCAGCUCUGGACUGUGCUUGCUGUCCUUGAGGAGAAUGCAGCCAGCCCAGGGCAAAUCAGAGCCAGGCAGGAAGUGUUCCCUGUGAACCCAUGAGACUUCAUCCCUGCGUUGGUCUGGCUGGCUUUCCCUGUGAGAUACAGGUUCCUCCUGAAGAGCUGAAGCUCCAUUCCAGCUCUAGACUUCUCCUUGCUUUCAGACUUCAAGAUGAGAAGCAUUUUUCCAGUCCACAAGUGUUAGAGGACACUGCCGAUGAUGUGUGUUUUGCCCAGGCUGGACUCAGCUUCUUUGUCUCGUUUUGAAAGAAGAGUCAUGCUUCAAUUAAUAACAGACAACGGAGUCAAUAUGAAGGGAGCAGAGACAAUGAUGUGAUCAAAUGCCAAGAAAUGACUGACAGCAGAAAAAAUAUCAUGACCACUGUGGGAGGAGGUACUUUCUCUUUGUCAGAAGAACAGAAGCAAAUGGUCUGCUUAUAGCCUUUUAUGUGACGAUGUGCCCUUUCUGCCACUGCAAGGGAAAGAGUCAUCUUUGCUCCUCCAUUUUGGUUUAUCCUAAGAAAGACCAACACUAUGUCUAGCCCAGAGAGAGAAACACAUAAAAUAAAUACAAGUUAAAUCUUCAAUGGGACAUCAAGUUCCAUGUACAAGGCUAACCUAGACUAUAAAGUCCUUGAAGUAAGUGAAUUUAUUAUAUAUCUCUAUCACUGGACACACUGUUUGCAUGAAAUGAAGAGAAGCUUAAUAAAAGUGUCUUCAUAAUGACAAAGACAGGGAUGAUUAUUUGUAGAUACAACAUUUAAAGUAUAAAUACAGUUCAAGAAGAUUUGAUUCUAAUCGAAACACUUCCACCUAAAUAAGAAUCCUGAUGCAAAUAAUGACUAGUUUUAAAAUGACACCUUUUUUCAGACAUUACAAGCAAUGCUUAGUCGUUAAAUUAAAAAAUAAAUACCCCGUACGAUUUAAGAAGAAAAUAGAACACAUCUCUAUUCCCACCACUUAGCUAACAUUUGGUGUGCUUAUUCUCUCUGUCUCUGUCUGUCUCUGCCUGUCUCUCUCUUUCAUUCUCAUUCACUCCUGCCCUCACCUCUCUCUCUCUGUCUUAUCUACCUUUGUUUUGAUUUUACAAAUUUAAGUCCAUAUUCAUGCUGUACAUGAUUAAGGUUACACACUUAGUAUGUACACACUUUUUCACUUAUAUCAUGAACAUCUUUGUCAAACUUUUAGAAACAUUUUACCAGAGCCCUGUUUUGAAGACAUGAAAGUUGUUCUCUAUUCAUUUUUAAAUUAGGGAUAUAUCAUAUGUGGGUAUAUUUACACACAUAUUUUGGAGCACAUUUUAAAUUGUUUCCUUAGGAAAUAUUGCUAAAAGUAGAUUUAAAAAAAUAUUAAAGUGUUUGAUAAACAUUACUAUAAUAUCCUCCAGAAAGUCUGAACUAAUUUAAACUCCCAUUAACAACAUUUGUACAUAUUUCCAUUGCAACCUUGUUAAGAAAGUACUAUUUUGAUAAACAGACAAAAAGGAAAUCACACAGUUGUUUAAUUUGCAUAAAAUACUAAAUACUUUCUUCUU
Molecule: long non-coding RNA, 1636 nt
Filed under: Homo sapiens (human)
Lineage: Eukaryota; Metazoa; Chordata; Mammalia; Primates; Hominidae
Description: HSALNT0250075
Source: RNAcentral